This 1401-nucleotide ribosomal RNA is filed under the name Escherichia coli. RNAcentral's name for it is "partial 23S ribosomal RNA". It matches the Rfam family "Bacterial large subunit ribosomal RNA", at positions 1539 to 2916 of the family's 2925-position model. Lineage: Bacteria; Pseudomonadati; Pseudomonadota; Gammaproteobacteria; Enterobacterales; Enterobacteriaceae. The record is from RNAcentral.
AAUCCGGAAAAUCAAGGCUGAGGCGUGAUGACGAGGCACUACGGUGCUGAAGCAACAAAUGCCCUGCUUCCAGGAAAAGCCUCUAAGCAUCAGGUAACAUCAAAUCGUACCCCAAACCGACACAGGUGGUCAGGUAGAGAAUACCAAGGCGCUUGAGAGAACUCGGGUGAAGGAACUAGGCAAAAUGGUGCCGUAACUUCGGGAGAAGGCACGCUGAUAUGUAGGUGAAGCGACUUGCUCGUGGAGCUGAAAUCAGUCGAAGAUACCAGCUGGCUGCAACUGUUUAUUAAAAACACAGCACUGUGCAAACACGAAAGUGGACGUAUACGGUGUGACGCCUGCCCGGUGCCGGAAGGUUAAUUGAUGGGGUCAGCGCAAGCGAAGCUCUUGAUCGAAGCCCCGGUAAACGGCGGCCGUAACUAUAACGGUCCUAAGGUAGCGAAAUUCCUUGUCGGGUAAGUUCCGACCUGCACGAAUGGCGUAAUGAUGGCCAGGCUGUCUCCACCCGAGACUCAGUGAAAUUGAACUCGCUGUGAAGAUGCAGUGUACCCGCGGCAAGACGGAAAGACCCCGUGAACCUUUACUAUAGCUUGACACUGAACAUUGAGCCUUGAUGUGUAGGAUAGGUGGGAGGCUUUGAAGUGUGGACGCCAGUCUGCAUGGAGCCGACCUUGAAAUACCACCCUUUAAUGUUUGAUGUUCUAACGUUGACCCGUGAUCCGGGUUGCGGACAGUGUCUGGUGGGUAGUUUGACUGGGGCGGUCUCCUCCUAAAGAGUAACGGAGGAGCACGAAGGUUGGCUAAUCCUGGUCGGACAUCAGGAGGUUAGUGCAAUGGCAUAAGCCAGCUUGACUGCGAGCGUGACGGCGCGAGCAGGUGCGAAAGCAGGUCAUAGUGAUCCGGUGGUUCUGAAUGGAAGGGCCAUCGCUCAACGGAUAAAAGGUACUCCGGGGAUAACAGGCUGAUACCGCCCAAGAGUUCAUAUCGACGGCGGUGUUUGGCACCUCGAUGUCGGCUCAUCACAUCCUGGGGCUGAAGUAGGUCCCAAGGGUAUGGCUGUUCGCCAUUUAAAGUGGUACGCGAGCUGGGUUUAGAACGUCGUGAGACAGUUCGGUCCCUAUCUGCCGUGGGCGCUGGAGAACUGAGGGGGGCUGCUCCUAGUACGAGAGGACCGGAGUGGACGCAUCACUGGUGUUCGGGUUGUCAUGCCAAUGGCACUGCCCGGUAGCUAAAUGCGGAAGAGAUAAGUGCUGAAAGCAUCUAAGCACGAAACUUGCCCCGAGAUGAGUUCUCCCUGACUCCUUGAGAGUCCUGAAGGAACGUUGAAGACGACGACGUUGAUAGGCCGGGUGUGUAAGCGCAGCGAUGCGUUGAGCUAACCGGUACUAAUGAACCGUGAGG